GUUUUCUUGGGAUCUUCAAGAGGCUUAACAAAUAAAAAGUAAUGUUUUCACUUAGAUCCUCCCCAAAUAUUCAUGAUUAAAAAACAAAUUUUAUCUACGUAGAAUGAGGAGUUGACAAAAGGACAGAUAGACAUGCAAAAAAUUGAGUUGUAUUACAAGCACAAAUGGCAAGAAGAAUCACCAUCUACCAAUUCAGUUACGCAGUUAACUGGAGGAUCCAUGCAAAGAGAGGAAGAUAAUCAAAUGAAACAAUAGAAAACAGUACACCAUAGUGGCAAAGAUGACAGAUUUGCUUAAAUUUUUCUUUUCUUUUUUAUAUAAAUUAAAAAAAACAAAAAGAAAACCAGUAAAGUUUAUUAGUUCAAGCAUGCACAUAAAUUGAGAAGAAUUUUCAUAAGGAAUUUAGCUAAAUGACUAAGUUAGAAUAAAAAAGGAAUUAUCAGCUCAUUCCCAAAUGACUUCAAACAUAUAGUAGACUAGCCUAAUAGCAAUAGCAUUCUCAUAGAUACACACCGCAUUAGAAGUGAAUUUGUGGCCACAUGCAAAUUGUGGAAAAAUAUGAGCAAUAGAUUUUCACUGUAAACAGAGAAACAAGGCAAAUUAAACUUAAUUAAUCAGGCUCCCAGACAUGUCAAACCCCUCCCUCCAGACUGCUGUAAUCCAACAAAUGCAGUGGAGAAUUAACAGUCAAUGACACAGAAAUUAUGUAUUAAAAGGAAAACUACAAAAAUCUGUAGAAAAUAGAAAAUGACAGAAGGUUGAGGCACAUCAUGAGACAUAAGAGACUAAAAAGAAAAAAUGAUAACAUGUAUGAGAUAACUACAACUGUUCUUGAAAAAUCAACAUACCGUGCUUCCAAACCCAAUAUAUAU
RNAcentral lists this unclassified non-coding RNA (872 nucleotides) under Hevea brasiliensis (rubber tree). The record is from RNAcentral. Lineage: Eukaryota; Viridiplantae; Streptophyta; Magnoliopsida; Malpighiales; Euphorbiaceae.